This 109-nucleotide transfer RNA is filed under the name Rhizoctonia solani. RNAcentral describes it as "tRNA-Met". It matches the Rfam family "tRNA". From Rfam's summary of the family: Transfer RNA (tRNA) molecules are approximately 80 nucleotides in length. Their secondary structure includes four short double-helical elements and three loops (D, anti-codon, and T loops). Lineage: Eukaryota; Fungi; Basidiomycota; Agaricomycetes; Cantharellales; Ceratobasidiaceae. The record is from RNAcentral.
GCUUCCUUGGCUCAGUUGGUAGAGCGUUGGUCUCAUAUCUCAUAUGAGUAGUCACGUAAUGAUUACAUAAGCCAUCCAAAGGUCGUGAGUUCGAGCCUCACAGGGAGCA